Molecule: ribosomal RNA, 265 nt
Filed under: uncultured Staphylococcus sp.
Lineage: Bacteria; Bacillati; Bacillota; Bacilli; Caryophanales; Staphylococcaceae
Description: partial 16S ribosomal RNA
Rfam family: Bacterial small subunit ribosomal RNA
Source: RNAcentral
CGGCGGACGGGUGAGUAACACGUGGAUAACCUACCUAUAAGACUGGGAUAACUCGGGAAACCGGAGCUAAUACCGGAUAAUAUAUUGAACCGCAUGGUUCAAUAGUGAAAGACGGUUUUGCUGUCACUUAUAGAUGGAUCCGCGCCGCAUUAGCUAGUUGGUAAGGUAACGGCUUACCAAGGCAACGAUGCGUAGCCGACCUGAGAGGGUGAUCGGCCACACUGGAACUGAGACACGGUCCAGACUCCUACGGGAGGCAGCAGGC